CCGCCCGUAGCUCAGCAGGAUAGAGCAACCGCCUCCUAAGCGGUAGGUCGGCCGUUCGAAUCGGCCCGGGCGGGCCA
RNAcentral lists this transfer RNA (77 nucleotides) under Halieaceae bacterium. RNAcentral's name for it is "tRNA-Arg". It matches the Rfam family "tRNA". Rfam says of the family: Transfer RNA (tRNA) molecules are approximately 80 nucleotides in length. Their secondary structure includes four short double-helical elements and three loops (D, anti-codon, and T loops). The record is from RNAcentral. Lineage: Bacteria; Pseudomonadati; Pseudomonadota; Gammaproteobacteria; Cellvibrionales; Halieaceae.